RNAcentral lists this ribosomal RNA (574 nucleotides) under Pseudomonas aeruginosa. Its description in RNAcentral is "bacterial SSU rRNA". It matches the Rfam family "Bacterial small subunit ribosomal RNA", at positions 110 to 677 of the family's 1533-position model. Lineage: Bacteria; Pseudomonadati; Pseudomonadota; Gammaproteobacteria; Pseudomonadales; Pseudomonadaceae. The record is from RNAcentral.
GUAAUGCCUAGGAAUCUGCCUGGUAGUGGGGGAUAACGUCCGGAAACGGGCGCUAAUACCGCAUACGUCCUGAGGGAGAAAGUGGGGGAUCUUCGGACCUCACGCUAUCAGAUGAGCCUAGGUCGGAUUAGCUAGUUGGUGGGGUAAAGGCCUACCAAGGCGACGAUCCGUAACUGGUCUGAGAGGAUGAUCAGUCACACUGGAACUGAGACACGGUCCAGACUCCUACGGGAGGCAGCAGUGGGGAAUAUUGGACAAUGGGCGAAAGCCUGAUCCAGCCAUGCCGCGUGUGUGAAGAAGGUCUUCGGAUUGUAAAGCACUUUAAGUUGGGAGGAAGGGCAGUAAGUUAAUACCUUGCUGUUUUGACGUUACCAACAGAAUAAGCACCGGCUAACUUCGUGCCAGCAGCCGCGGUAAUACGAAGGGUGCAAGCGUUAAUCGGAAUUACUGGGCGUAAAGCGCGCGUAGGUGGUUCAGCAAGUUGGAUGUGAAAUCCCCGGGCUCAACCUGGGGAACUGCAUCCAAAACUACUGAGCUAGAGUACGGUAGAGGGGUGGGUGGAAUUUCCUGUGUA